GACGAUUCUCUAGCUCAGUGGUUAGAGCGAUGGUCUUAUGAGCCAUAGGUCGUAGGUUCGGCCGUCGCACAGCAAGCGUCG
RNAcentral lists this transfer RNA (81 nucleotides) under Perkinsus olseni. RNAcentral's name for it is "tRNA-Ile". It matches the Rfam family "tRNA", at positions 1 to 58 of the family's 71-position model. Rfam says of the family: Transfer RNA (tRNA) molecules are approximately 80 nucleotides in length. The record is from RNAcentral. Lineage: Eukaryota; Perkinsozoa; Perkinsida; Perkinsidae.